UACGGGGGGGGCAAGCGUUGUUCGGAAUUACUGAGCGUAAAGGGCUCGUAGGCGGCCAACUAAGUCGGACGUGAAAUCCCCAGGCUCAACCUGGGAACUGCGUCCGAUACUGGAUGGCUUGAAUCCGGGAGAGGGAUGCAGAAUUCCAGGUGUAGCGGUGAAAUGCGUAGAUAUCUGGAGGAAUACCGGUGGCGAAGGCGGCAUCCUGGACCGGCAUUGACGCUGAGGAGCGAAAGCCAGGGGAGCAAACGGG
Molecule: ribosomal RNA, 253 nt
Filed under: uncultured bacterium
Lineage: Bacteria
Description: partial 16S ribosomal RNA
Rfam family: Bacterial small subunit ribosomal RNA
Source: RNAcentral